GACGAACGCUGGCGGCGUGCUUAACACAUGCAAGUCGAACGGUGAAGCGAGUGCUUGCACUCGUGGAUCAGUGGCGAACGGGUGAGUAACACGUGAGUAACCUGCCCAUCACUCUGGGAUAAGCACUGGAAACGGUGUCUAAUACUGGAUACGACCAACCCUUGCAUGGGGUGUUGGUGGAAAGAUUUAUCGGUGAUGGAUGGACUCUCGGCCUAUCAGCUUGUUGGCGGGGUAAUGGCCCACCAAGGCGACGACGGGUAGCCGGCCUGAGAGGGUGACCGGCCACACUGGGACUGAGACACGGCCCAGACGCCUACGGGAGGCAGCAGUGGGGAAUAUUGCACAAUGGGCGAAAGCCUGAUGCAGCGACGCCGCGUGAGGGAUGACGGCCUUCGGGUUGUAAACCUCUUUCAGCAGGGAAGAAGCGAAAGUGACGGUACCUGCAGAAGAAGCACCGGCUAACUACGUG
This 469-nucleotide ribosomal RNA is filed under the name uncultured bacterium. Its description in RNAcentral is "partial 16S ribosomal RNA". It matches the Rfam family "Bacterial small subunit ribosomal RNA", at positions 28 to 507 of the family's 1533-position model. The record is from RNAcentral.